This 253-nucleotide ribosomal RNA is filed under the name uncultured bacterium. RNAcentral describes it as "partial 16S ribosomal RNA". It matches the Rfam family "Bacterial small subunit ribosomal RNA", at positions 524 to 776 of the family's 1533-position model. The record is from RNAcentral.
UACGGAGGGUGCAAACGUUGUUCGGAAUUACUGGGCGUAAAGGGCGCGUAGGCGGCCGCCUAAGUCAGACGUGAAAUCCCUCGGCUCAACCGGGGAACUGCGUCUGAUACUGGGUGGCUUGAAUCCGGGAGAGGGAUGCGGAAUUCCAAGUGUAGCGGUGAAAUGCGUAGAUAUCUGGAGGAACACCGGUGGCGAAGGCGGCAUCCUGGACCGGCAUUGACGCUGAGGCGCGAAAGCCAGGGGAGCAAACGGG